GAAAAUCAUUGCUCCAUUUGUUUUCAAAAAUGAUAGCUCUCGAACUAACAGAGAAUGAGCCUUUGGGAGCUUUAAUAGAAGACAAGAAGCACAAGGUUUUACACCAGAGUAAUACCCGAACGGUAUUGUUCGAUGGUGGCCUAUCCAGUGUCCGAUUUUGGGCUGGAAGGACCCAGACCUAACCGCGAUUCGCGGAGAUGCGUAACCAGCGCGCGAACGCGGUGACCUGCAAAAAUUGAAAAGCCGCGAGUCGAUCUAAAAACGAACGCAGCACGCGCGCAAGGACAAGGGAUUAUUCCGUGCCGCUAUGCGCCGUGAGAGAGCCGGCGGGUUUCCAAGGACGUCGAACAUCCCGUCUUUUGUCGAACAGGCGAAGAAAGAGAGAGGUGGAAAAGAAGUAAAAAAAAAAAAAAGAAAAAAGAAA
Hylaeus anthracinus is the source of this 424-nucleotide long non-coding RNA. RefSeq lists it as uncharacterized. The record is from RefSeq and is a predicted model, not a curated record. The transcript has 2 exons. NCBI's taxonomy places the organism in Eukaryota, Metazoa, Arthropoda, Insecta, Hymenoptera, Colletidae.